GGCAGCCCCGCGCCGCCGCCGCCGUGCAGGCCCAGCGGGCCUCCCAGCUCGGCCAGGCGGGGCAGCUCACCCGGACAGCGCGAGCCCAGCGCCGGCGACAGCGCGCUGGCGGGGCUUGGGUACAUGAGCGGCGAUGAUGGCGCCAGGGCCUCCAGGGCCUCGUCGUCCUCCAGCUCGGCCGCCUCCCCGAGCAGGGGUCUCCCGCCGCCGCGGAAGUCGGCCCAAGCCUCGUAGUCGUCGCUGGCGUGCGAGGCGGGGCUGGCGGCCCACUUGGCUGCGGCAGGCACCGGCCCCGGGGCGGGCGCACUCGGGGAGCUGUCGUCCGGGCUUCGCUCGGGCGCCUGCAGCUGCUUCUUCUUGCUCGCCUUGCCCUUGAUGCGCAGGAACUUGGCCCCGUUGUCCAUGGACACGGCCCUGCGCCGCGGGGUCUUCCCUGUCUUUCCGCCCUCGGGGUUCAGCAUCCACCACGAACUCUUGCCGGUGCCCUCGUUCUGCACGCGGAUGAAACGGGUGUGCAGCGACAGGUUGUGCCGGAUGGAGUUCUGUGGCCAGAGACAAGGACGCGGGUGGGAGUCGGGGGGUGAGGAGGCCAUGGGGAGAGAGGGGACGUGAUGGAAAGAAGAGGGGGAGGAUAAGAGAGUGUAGGAGGAGGAGGGAGAUAGGGAUGAGGAUGAGGUAAGGGGGUUGGGAGAGGGAGGGGACAGGUGUAAGUACCGGGUUGGACAAACCCAGAGUACCCACCCUCUGCCCCAGAACUGCACCCCCCAUCCCUCCCCACUCCCACACAGAGACUGCCCAGAGGGUGAGGCCACAGCUUUGGGCCUAGCCUUUCCCUGGGGGCAUGGCCAACCCUGUGGGCUACUCUGAGCCUGCGGGGGGCCUGCAGCAGGGAGCAGGACCCCGUCUCCCCAGCUCAGCCAAGCCCCACGCGGGGCUAACCAGGCUGCCAGGGCCCCCAGCAGAUUACGUAAGGGCUUAUGCCGCCGCGGCUCAUUUGUCCGCCCCCCUCCCUCUCCAGCCUGGCGUGGCGCCAGGAGCCCGAAAACCCAGGGCUCCAGAAAUCAAUCUCGCGGUGACUGAUUAAGCCCUGUUUAGAACUAAUUGCUCUUUCGUGUGUGGGGAGAAUAAAUUACCUGCUUUAAUUUCGUGUCUUUAAAAUGCAACUGCAGGUAGAGAAGACUGUUAACCCUUUGCUGGGAGGGCCUGGCCAGGGGAAACAGAGUAGGCUGGGGUCCCCAAGGUGGGUCCAGGCCUGAGACUUUUCGGAGGUAUCACCCCAACUCCUCUUAGCUGCUGUGAACUCCACAGAGGGUUUGGAUUCCAGCAGGCCCCUCAAAAGACAUCCUUUUGCCACAGAGACCUCAGCCUUCACCCUCUUCAGUGCCCACCUUCAGGCCAGCCCAGCUCUCCUGCCUGCCCUUUGGGCUGCACCCUGCCCUCCUCUCCUGACCCACCUGCCUGCCCUCCAAGCCCCUUGCUGUUGGAGCCUUCUCAAAAUCCCCACAGUGUGUGGCAAAGUCCCCAUUCACACGCCAGAAGACCUAGGCUCAGAGAGAGGAAUGGCUUGCCCAAGGUGGCCUUUUCUGCUGUCCCUCGGUUCCUCCCUGGGCUUCACCUCUGCCAUCUCUCCAUACAUCCUCUUUUUAAUUCUGCUGUGCCAGUCUCCAGUGCUCCCCAUGUCACUGCCUGCUUUUGCCAGGCCUGUUCUGAGGACAGAGGAAGGCAGGAAGUCCACUGGCCCCACUGGAAUCUGGAGUAGAACUUCUGCUGGGCCUGCGGCACCCCACCUCUGGGGCCUCCCACCUGGUGGCCUCAACUUCCUGGUCCAGGUACUGCUAUGGAAACAGCAGGGGCUUGGGUAUCAGAGGGUGGGACAGGAUGCCUGGCUCUUUGGCUGCCUAGCUAUGUGACCAUGGGGUGUUUACUCAGUUUCUUGUGAGCCUCAGUGAACUACUCUGAAAAAGUGGGCUACAUUCAGUAACUACCUCUUAAGGCUGUAAGAUCAUUACAUGUGCAUGAAUAAGUAUUUGCACACCAGGUGCUUAUAAACGUUGGUUAUAUCCUCACUCUGGCCAGAAGCUCUCACCCCUUCGGUCCCCCAACAGACCUGCUGUUUCCAUCUCUUUAACAUCAUGCCUUGUGUGCAACUGUGCUGGGCACCAACAACUCUGGGAAGCUGGCAUUCUCCAAUUUCAUACACUAGGGACCGGAGGCCCAGAGGCAUGAUGUAACUUCCCGUGGCCCCACAGCUAGGCAACGAUGCCCGGUACCACUCCAGCUCUGCCCAGCUCAUGGACCUGCUCUUAACCUGUGAAUCCACCCAGCCACACUCACAGCCACUGCUCUGUGAGGCUCUCCCUCCUGCCUCCUUCCCACCAGUCUCCUGGAGGAGGGGUCCUUCCUGCUGCCCAGGGUACCCUCCCACCCCUCACCCCCAGCUCCAGGCACUGAUCUGACUCCUCAGGGCCCCAGGCUCCCUGUCUCUGGCACUUUCUGGCCUUUGAAGGCAACAGCUGGGACUUGCCAGCCUUGCCCUGCCUGGUUCUCUGGAGACCCUGAGGGGAGGGGAGCUGGGCCCCCAGGGAGCAGUGCUCCCUCAAGUAGAUACCCCCUUCCUGUUCCCACCCCUGCACCUGGCUCCCCAGCCCCUCCCCAACACCUGUGUUCAGCCUCCUAGGAGGCCUCAGUUCUCCUCCCCCAUAGGACUGUCUGGCUUACAAGAGGCUCCACCUCCCACCUCCCCAUUUCUCCAGCUGGAGGUCACUCAGGCAACACCUCUUUAUCAAUGUCAUUAUGUCCUGGAGGAAGGACAGUACCAGGUACCAGCACCUAGCAAGCGCUUGCCCAUUCAGCCCUGGGCACUCUAAGUACUUUAUCAAAUGUAAUCAUUAGAUGAACUCCACACAAGUCAGGGAUUGUGAUCCCUAUCUCAUAACCGGAGAGUGAGGCUCAGAGAUGUUAAGUGAGUUACCAGGGUCACACAGCUUAAGUGCUGUGCCAUGUAUUGAUUUCAGGUUGGUGUUUUGUUUUGUUUUGUUUUGUUUUGUUUUGUUUUGUUGAGACAGGGUUUCACUCUAGCCCAGACUGGAGUACAGUGGCACGAUCUCAGCUCACUGCAACCUCCGCCUCCCAGGCUCAAGUGAUUCUCCUGCCUCAGCCUCCCAAGUAGCUGGAAUUACAGGUGCGUGCCACUGCCACCCAGCUAAUUUUUGUAUUUUUAGUAGAGAUGGGGUUUCACCACGUUGACCAGACUGGUCUUGAACUCCUGACCUCAGAUGAUCCACCCGCCUCGGCCUCCCAAAGUGCUGGGAUUACAGGUUGGUCUUAUUCUAAGUCUAAAGGAUAUCACAUUCUGCCAUGGAAGACAGAAACAGGUCUGAGAAUCCCAAAGAAUCUUAGGAAGCCAGUAUUCCAGUGCUCCUCAAACUUUCCAUGUAAACCAUCCCUAGAAGCUGGCAGCAGGGGAAGUCUGGGGGCAUGUUGCACAGGUCAAAAUUUCCUGCAAGUCUAAGCUUCCUUUUUAGACUUCAAGGAAAUUUUGCAUAGACUUCAUAAUCCACCCACAUUUUCUUUAUACACAUUAUUCACAUGUUUUAGAAUUACCGCCAAGACAAGCUCCAGGCCUCUGAAGGUUUGCAUCCUUCCCUGCUCUGUCCCAUAUCCAGCCAGGUACCCCUGGAGCUCAGGCCUCAGCCUGAAACCAUGGCUGGCCCAACCCAUGGGGAAGAAAGGACUUGCCCAAGGCUGUCCGAGACCUGGUGGCAGAGCAGGGAUGUGAGCCCAGGCCUCCCGACCCCCAGCCCCGUGUUCCUCCCACUCUACCAAGCCUGACCUAGAUGAAGUUUCUCCUUCUUUGGGGGCCUCAGUGUCCUGAACUAUAAACUAAGGAGAUGGGCAAGUUGUACUCUGGGAACCUUUUCAGUUUGACAAUGAAAAUCCUUAGAAUCAUUCAGUCCAGAGGUUUUCAAACAUUUUUCUUAAAUAGGGGAACUCUUUCUGUAAAUGAGAUUUAGUGCAAAACUUAAGCGUUACACACUCAAGCCAAUGGUGGUGGGGACAGGAGUACCUGGAUCCCUGUGCACUCAGCACCCUUUUUCACAGAAAAUGAAGCUCCUGGGGAGGAUUCUGCAGGCCAGAUGGAUGGGGUCUUUGAGGCACAGAGGGAUGCCAUGCCUUGCUCAGGGUCAGACAAGGUGGCUCAGAGCUGAGCGAUGACCUAGGCCUCUGACUGCUGAGCUGGGCUCUGAACCAGGUAUGCUCCAGGGCUGUGCCCCAUGAGAGAAGCUCAGGCCCUGCAGCCCAGUCUGGCUCCUCAGGGCCCAGCCACCUGGUACCAAUCAGAGCUCCCUGCCAGAUCCAGUGGCAAGCACUGAUCACAGCUCUGGCUCACACCACAAGGCCUCCUGGGAGGCCAGAGGCCAUGGAGGAGGUGAAAGAGGCAGAGGAGGGAGAUGCCUCUGCCAGGCAGCAGUAACCAGGGCUCCCUCUUAGAGUCGCCUAGCAACCCACCACCACAGCCACAGCCCUGGCAUGCCCGGGCUCCCCAGGUGCCCAGAGCUGGGCCCAGCUUCUGGGGCCUCAUGCCUCCCACACCUACAUCCAGACCUGGAGCAUGUUGCUAGGGGAGUCAGGACAUACCUGAUUCAGGGCCCGAGGGAGACCAUCUGGGGGCAGAGGGAAAGGACAGUGGGUUAUAUCUCAUGCCUACCCCGUUCUCCUUCAGAACCUGGGCCAGGGAGCCCAGCCCCCAGGGAUUCCCCCACCAGGGAGGAGGCUAGAGUAGGGCAAAGUACAUCAGCUGUAGCGUUCGAACUGGAUUCCCCGUUUCAGCCCCAUCACCUGUGAGUGCUAUGACCCUGGGGCAAGAUGUUUUCAAGCUCCAUUCCUCAAAUGGCUCCCUGCUCCCUCCCUCACCUCCUUAUAGCACUCCACGCAGCAGCCAGAGUGACCCUUCAAAUAACCGAGAUCACGUCCAUUCCUGCCCAGAUCCCUCCGACACCCUCCAUCUCACUCACAGUGAGGAACAAAGGCCUUGCCAUGGCCCACAAGACCCACAGUGACCAUGCAGGUACCCCGCUCCAUCCCUCCCUCCCAUCCUCAAACCUGCCAGGCAUGGUCCCGCCUGCCCCCAGAUAUCCACAGAGAUCGCUCCUCUCCUUCCAGUCUUUGUUCAGAUGCCAUCUCUUGGAACGGGGCCCAUCCUGACCUCUCUUAAAAACUGUUCCUCUUCCCUGGAAUUUCUUGGCCCCCUGAUCCUGCUCUAUGUUUUUCUAAAGCAUUUUCACAUUCUAAAUUAAUACAUUAUUUAUCCUAUCUUUAUAUUAGAAUAUAAGUUUCAUGAGGGCAGUGAUUUUUAUCCUUUUUAAAACUGUACCUCAUGUGUUUGGUACAUACUAGACACUUAAAUGUUUGUCAAAUGAAUGAAUGGAUGAAUGAAUAAGAGAAAGUGUGUAUGUGCAAGGAGGAGUAAUACUGUGUUGUAGGGAGAUUAAAUAAGACUGGGCAGAGUGGCUGACACAUAAUAGGGGCUUUUCCAAACUGGGCAGAAAGAAGACACAGGCAGGAUGAGAAGCAGGCAGUGGGGUGAGAAUGUCCGAAGCAGUCUGACCCACUGAGGGGUGCCAGGGAGAGGAGUAGGGCAUCCAUUGGGGGUGAAGGAGAGGUCCCACGGUGCACAAUGCAGCUGCCUGCCCUCCCCAGCCCCCCACCCUGCUCCCCAGAGAGACUUGGAUAACCCAGGGCUGGCACACACCGAGGUCUCCCCUGGGCCAGAAGACGCUCCAGGAGCCCCAGUGGGAACAGGAUAACCUCGUCGUUGCUGAUGGUGCCUCCCUCAUGGACAGGGUCUGAUCCAUUUGGUGGUGGCAGCUCAUCUAUCCAGCAGGACACCCUCAUCUAUUCCCAGGAUGCCCUUCACCCACGAGCAGUAAUGCAUUCACCUGACAGCACAACCCCAUUUAUCCAGCACACCAGUCCCAUUUAUCCAGCAAGUACAACCUCAUUUGCUAACAGCACUCCAUUCACCUGACGGGCCCCCUCAUUUAUCCAGCAGGACACCCUCAUUUAUCCUCUGAGUCGGACACUCUCCUUCCUCCUGUGGUGUGGCUGUGUUCUCUGAUGGAGCAAAAGCCGACUGAUCCAGCAGGACGUCAUCUCUACUACAAGUACACUUCAUCCCCUGACAGUACAACCUCAUUUAUCUAAUAAUGCAGCCUCACCUUGCCCCCAAGUACCACCUCAUUCCCUGACAGCACAACCUCGUUGAUCUUCCGGUACAACCUCAUUUCUUCUCCCAACACAGCUUCAUUCUCCAACAGCUCAACCUCAUCUAAUCUUAUGCCUCCAGCCAGGGCCUGCCAGAUCUCCGGGAGCCAAAGGAGAGUGUAGAGAAAAGAGAGGUCCCUCAUUUGCUGUCCCCCACCCACAAGGGCUGCCUGGUGCUAUAACCAUCCAAUUUCUCCAGGCCCAGAAGGGGCCAUGGACUUUGAGUUCUAGGCUGCUUGGCCAAGCCAGAACUCCACUAUUGCCCUGCCUCCUGUUCUGUCCCCACCAUGGCUACAGAGGGCCCACAGGAUGGAUUCUGGGACAUGGACUCAUGGUUGCUGUACCAUCUUCUUAUUUAUUUAUAGCCAGAGAGGAGGAUUUCUUAUGUUGCCCACGUUGGUUUCAAACUCCUGACCUCAAGUGAUCUUCCUGCCUCGGCCUCCCAAAGUGCUGGGAUUACAGGUGUGAGCCAACUUGCCUGGCCAUCUCUGUGCCAUCUUCUUCUGAUCCUGGGCAGUGGGACUAGGGGAAGUUACCUUUUCUGGGGCACAUUUAGUGGUGUGCUGGCAAAUGUUUAACCACCAGCUCUUCUGGAAGUUAAAAAAAAAACCUACCUGAUUUGAUUUGUAGCUGUUGCUGCUUUCUGUGGUACGGAUACUCACAUCAUAGCCAAUUUUAAACUGCCACAUGACGUCACCGAGUGCAGAAUUGGGAAGAAGUGUGCACGAUCAGCCCUCAUGAGCCAGUGCAAACCAGCUCUCGCACACCACUGGCAUGUGCUUCAAAUGCUGAAGCCAGAGAAGGGCACCACCUACUACAUGCCUAACAUAGGCUAGGCUCCUUUAAUCCUGAUAACCAUCCUGUGAGUAGGUACUGCGAUUUUACAAAGGGGGCAAACUGAAGCUCAGGUGGGUUAAAUGACUCCUGAGGCCACAAAGCUGGGAAAUGACGGAGCCAGGCUUGGGUCUUAGGGCUGCUGGAUUCCAAAGCCAGAGCUCUCCCACACCUACCCCUAAUGUGGCAGGGGACACUCUGCUGUCCACCCCAGUGGCCAUCUCCACCUUGACGCUCAAGCCCAAGCUCUCCUAGCUUUCAUCAGAGACAGGGGACAAGGACUGUGCCCCCACCUACCACCAACCCUGUGCUACCUCCUGGCCUCCCUGGUACCUGGGGUCUUUCAGGAUCCAAGUGCGGCCCUGCAUCUUGUGUCCACCCAUCACAGCCCAAGCCCAAGGUCAGGUGUGGAUGCCUGUCCAGGUUGCAUCACAGUCAAAGGCUCAGCCCAGCCCCUCCCUCAGGAGACUGACCCUGACUACCUGAUGGGGAAAAUGACCCAGCACCUGUUACUGCAGUGACCUCCUGUGGGGCUGUGGUGAGGGCUCUGAUCCCCUCUAUGAUUCCCAUUUCCUCCUUCCCUCCUGGCCUUCCUUCCUGCAUACGGAGAGGUCAAAGACAGGAGACUGAAUCCCAACUUCAUCCAUGUGACAGUGGGCCUCCACUAUAACGAAGAUAACAAUCCCAGCAUCCACAGGGACAUAUGGGACCUGGAUGAAACCUCACAUGUCAAGAAUGUCAUCCCAUCCCUGUCUCAGAGCCCCAGGAGCCUCCCCAUCCUACCCCUUGCCCCCACCCAACUCUGGGGCCCCAGCCUGGCCUAGGAACACACACCUGUGUCAGACAGAGCCACAGACACCCUGAGAGUCACUUGCCCUGCCAUCUGGGGUGAAGUUCAGGUUCUCAGUCCAGGCCUCUUCCUGGCAAAAGAUGUGACCUGGAUGAUGCCAGGGACCCGAGGCCAUGUGCAAAUCCUCGGCACUAGGGUCUGCAGUGGAGAAGGGAUAGAAGGGCAGCUGGGGACCAUGGGACACAGAUGUCUCCAGGUGAGUGGGCUCAGGAUCAGCAGCGGAUCCUAGAGUGGGCAGCCUGGGGCCAGGAGGAACCAAUAUCCAAAGGAAGGCAUGAGGCUCUGGCACCCCCCAGAGAAAGCAGAGCCCACACACCCAGGCUCGGCAGCAAAUAAACCACCAACGAAAGUCCAACCUCACACUGCUCCAAUGCCCAUUCGUCCUUGUCACCUGCGGGCUUGGGUCCAAAACCAGGCUGAUACUAAAGAGCCCUCUGAUGUCCUCCAGCCUCAUCGCCCCCUUCCCUUAGGGCCAUCUGGGCCUCCAACCACCUUGGAUGUCCCCAUCCCUGUGCCUUUGCACACUGUUCCCUUUACUCUUGUCCCUUUCUCUGCUCUAUCAGUUCCUGUUCCUCCAUCAAGGCUAGCUCUGUGGCACCUUCCUCAUCCCCUAUGCAAGCCCCAAAGAUAGAUGCUCCCACCUUAGUGCUCCUGUAGAGAUCUAACAGCAAACCAGAGCAAAGUGGUGUCUGAGCUGGCCUCCCUACUCGAACUCUGUGGGGCAAUCCUUGGCUCAAGAGAAGUCAAGAGAUAGGAUGGAGCCCUCAGUAGCCACGAGCUGCUCAUGCCUGGCAUUUCUGUGUAGUUUCUGUUCAGCAAAAUCUCAGGCCAGAGCUCCAAGGCUUGCCCACCCUCUACCAGGGUCCUGUCUGACCCUCCUCCCUGCUGCUUUCUCCUGCAGCUCCUGUUGCCUCUGCCACCUCCUUACUUGACCCCAGUACUUCCUGCCUCCUUGGGAAAGUGAGGCAGUGAGUGGGGAAGGACUACUGCUUCUGAGACAUUGACCACAUGCCAUGCCCUGUGCUGCCACUCGAAAAUUAUCUCAUUGAAUUUUUGUAACAACCCUCUGGUUGGUUUAUUGUCCCCAUUUUACAGAUGAGAAACUGAGGCUCCAAGAGACAAACUGACUUGCCCAGGGUCGCAUAGUGUAAGUGGUGGUGCAGGAAUUUACACCCAGGGCCCUUGCUCUUUCUCCUGCCCUGAGAGACCUCCAGAGAGGAGCCAAAGCCAAGCAGAAGCUCCAGCGUGAGCCUGGGGUAGGGGCAAGGGGACUCUCCAUACUAGUUCAGCAACCCCUUCACAGACCCUCCUUCAUUCGGGAUUAAAAAGAACCCCUAAAUGCAAAGCAUUCAGACUUUUCCAUCUCCCCUCUCAGUCUGAGCCCCUCCCUCCCUCUGCAGGCAGCACUUCCCCACUCCCCUGCCCCAGGCCCUGGGAGCAGCUGCAGUGACCUCACCCAGCCCUGCCCUGAGCCCAGCUCUGGGGAGGGCCCAGCAGCUGUGCCCCAGCCCUGCAGGCUGGCUCCUGGGGGAGAAAGAGGAAGAGUGGGCAUGGUGCCAAGAGAACCAUCUGCUCUCCCAGGGGCAUGGCCACCCGCACAGACACUGGCCUUGCCCCCAGGGGCUGCCCUUGGUCCCCAUGCCAAGGGGCUCCAGGAGCCCAGGGCGGCCCACCCAGACCGGGGCACCAGCCCUCAUCUGC
RNAcentral lists this long non-coding RNA (9649 nucleotides) under Homo sapiens (human). RNAcentral describes it as "HSALNT0291707". The record is from RNAcentral. Lineage: Eukaryota; Metazoa; Chordata; Mammalia; Primates; Hominidae.